Molecule: non-coding RNA, 30 nt
Filed under: Homo sapiens (human)
Lineage: Eukaryota; Metazoa; Chordata; Mammalia; Primates; Hominidae
Source: RNAcentral
CCUCUCUGUAUGUGUUCCUAGUACUCUUCC